Molecule: ribosomal RNA, 404 nt
Filed under: uncultured bacterium
Lineage: Bacteria
Description: bacterial SSU rRNA
Rfam family: Bacterial small subunit ribosomal RNA
Source: RNAcentral
GCACUUUAAGCAGUGAAGAAGACUCUGUGGUUAAUACCCACAGACGAUGACAUUAGCUGCAGAAUAAGCACCGGCUAACUCUGUGCCAGCAGCCGCGGUAAUACAGAGGGUGCAAGCGUUAAUCGGAAUUACUGGGCGUAAAGGGAGCGUAGGUGGCUCGAUAAGUCAGAUGUGAAAUCCCCGGGCUUAACCUGGGAACUGCAUCUGAAACUGUAGAGCUAGAGUAUGUGAGAGGGAGGUAGAAUUUCAGGUGUAGCGGUGAAAUGCGUAGAGAUCUGAAGGAAUACCGAUGGCGAAGGCAGCCUCCUGGCAUCAUACUGACACUGAGGCUCGAAAGCGUGGGUAGCAAACAGGAUUAGAUACCCUGGUAGUCCACGCCGUAAACGAUGUCUACUAGUCGUUGG